GACGAACGCUGGCGGCGUGCUUAACACAUGCAAGUCGAACGGAAAGGCCCUGCUUUUGUGGGGUGCUCGAGUGGCGAACGGGUGAGUAACACGUGAGUAACCUGCCCUUGACUUUGGGAUAACUUCAGGAAACUGGGGCUAAUACGGGAUAGAGCUUCUGGUGCCAGGGGGGGGGUGGGAAGGUUCGGCGGUUGGGGAUGGACUCGCGGCUUAUCAGCUUGGUGGUGGGGUAGUGGCUUACCAAGGCUUUGACGGGUAGCCGGCCUGAGAGGGUGACCGGCCACAUUGGGACUGAGAUACGGCCCAGACUCCUACGGGAGGCAGCAGUGGGGAAUAUUGCACAAUGGGCGGAAGCCUGAUGCAGCAACGCCGCGUGCGGGAUGACGGCCUUCGGGUUGUAAACCGCUUUCGCCUGUGACGAAGCGUGAGUGACGGUAAUGGGUAAAGAAGCACCGGCUAACUACGUG
This 467-nucleotide ribosomal RNA is filed under the name uncultured bacterium. Its description in RNAcentral is "partial 16S ribosomal RNA". It matches the Rfam family "Bacterial small subunit ribosomal RNA", at positions 28 to 507 of the family's 1533-position model. The record is from RNAcentral.